Long non-coding RNA from Tetranychus urticae (two-spotted spider mite), 1641 nucleotides. RefSeq lists it as uncharacterized. The record is from RefSeq and is a predicted model, not a curated record. NCBI's taxonomy places the organism in Eukaryota, Metazoa, Arthropoda, Arachnida, Trombidiformes, Tetranychidae.
UUUUCAGUUUAAAUCUUUUAACCAACAAACUUGAUAUUAAUGGUUCUUAGGCCUUUCAUUAGAUGGUGUUGAAGUUGUAACCAAAAGGGUGACGCUUACCAAUCAAGUGUCAAUCUUUUUCCUUUAUUUUAUGUGACUUAUAAGUUUCCAUGUUAUUAAUAAUAUUAAUUAUGUGUAAUUAUGAAUAAUAAUUAUGUGUCAGCCUGCCGACACUUGAACACUCGGCGGCUUCGUAAUUUAAAUUUACUGAUGAAUAAAGCUGAAGUGUAGUACCAAAGCUACAUGUUGUGUUUCUCUAUAGAUGUAGUGCUAAAUUAAGGUUCACCCACUGAUCAUCAUCAUCAUCAUCAACAAUCAACACUUGGAGGCGAUGGUUUUAAUAAUGUUGAACACUCUUAUUGUUACAAACCUGCUGUUAAACCAUUAAAAAGAUUAAUAAUCUUUGACCAACGAAAGUGAAUCUACAAUUGUCAUAGAUGAAGAUGAGAUUGAAAAAUGUUUACUAUUCAACAGUUACUCGAAUACACCCAACAAAGGCCGCUGUUAUAUAAUGGUCAAUGAACAUGUUGAGAUUCACCAGUCUUAAUCUAUGGUCUGCAGUUGAUUGGUAACUUAUAAAACAAAAGCCAGACUAAAGUUGGAAGAAACCUUUAGGAAUACUUCGUCAUGCCCUUAAACAAUAUCUUGUUUAACAAUCAAUUUACAAUUUAAAACCUAUUAACUUGAAACGAUGAAAACAUGAUAAAUUACUUCAAUACAUUAAUGGUAGAUUUAAACAUAAUAUACUGUACUUAUUUAGUUGAUGAUUUGAUAAAACAUACAAGAAUUGAUUCUCAUAAAAGAUUCAACUGAUAUUUCAAUCAACUAAUUGACUAAACCACAACAAUUUGGAUUGGACAAUUAAAUCCCAAAAAGGAUAAAAGAUGUCCAUAAAAAUUGAAAUAUAAUCUUGGCCAAUAUUCAAAUCAGCUGUAAACCGAGAAUCACUUUCACUGGAUUAACUAAGAAUUAAAUUUGCUGCUGAUUAAAAUAUUGUAUUAUAAUCAAUGAUUGUAAUUUGAUCUGAUAAUUUACAAGCCAGAAGAUGAUGUGAAAGAUGGACAACAAUGAAUUGGUUUCAAUUGGAAAAGGCAAAGGACACGGAAAACGCCUUAAGGUGAUAUUAUUUGCAGAUUUAUGUCCUUGAUAUUUCUUGGUGAUUAUAUUGAACAAUUUAACCACAGUUUAAUGAGAUUCAUAAUCUUAAAAAAUCAUUGAUAAAACCGUGAGAAACCAGAAGACAUUUUGCUUCACACCUUGAGUCUGGGUGUGACAAUCUUACAAGGUAAUAAUUAAGAUUUUCACCUUUACCAUCUUCAUCUUGAAUCUCAUCAUUAUCAUCAUCAUCAAUAUAAUCGAUUAGGUGUCCACUAAGGUGAUGAGAAAUGUAAAAAUAAGGUUAACUAAUGAUGAGCAAUCUUGAUUAACGCCAUUUCACAAUUGAAUAUUUAUGUUUGGCAAAGCAAUGUAACUCAGCGAAAAUUCAUCUGCUCAAUCAAUUUGUUGUUUGUUUAUUAUACUUGGAGUGUUAAUAAAUUCAAUUAACUCUCCUAAUACAACUGACAACACUUUUAAUUCAAUAAAAUCAUUUGCCGUAUUAGA